RNAcentral lists this long non-coding RNA (363 nucleotides) under Oryza sativa aromatic subgroup. RNAcentral describes it as "lncRNA OsARC_09g0003720". Lineage: Eukaryota; Viridiplantae; Streptophyta; Magnoliopsida; Poales; Poaceae. The record is from RNAcentral.
GAAUGGAAUAAGGAACGGGGAAAGCUACGGGAUCGACAUAAUAAUGUGACAGCUUGCAUCAGAAAACCUUUCUCAUCGCAAUUCUGUUGUCAGGACAAAAACAGCCUGAAUCUCGGCAGGUGCUACGGCAGUGUGUCAGAUUGCCAAUCCAAUUGCCCUAAUGAUCUUGAUCCUCAUGUGAAUGGAAUAAGGAAUGGGGAAAGCUACGGGAUCGACAUCAAUAAUGUGACAGCUUGCAUCAGAAAACCUUUCUCAUCGCAAUUUUGUUGUCAGAACAAAAACAGCCCGAAUCUCGGCAGGUGCUAUGGUAGCGUGUCAGAUUGCCAAUCCAAUUGGCCUAAUGUUCUUGACCCUCAUGUGUGA